AUUGAACGCUGGCGGCAGGCCUAACACAUGCAAGUCGAACGAGUGGCGGACGGGUGAGUAAUGUCUGGGAAACUGCCUGAUGGAGGGGGAUAACUACUGGAAACGGUAGCUAAUACCGCAUACCAUCGGAUGUGCCCAGAUGGGAUUAGCUAGUGGGUGGGGUAAAGGCUCACCAAGGCGACGAUCCCUAGCUGGUCUGAGAGGAUGAUCAGCAACACUGGAACUGAGACACGGCCCAGACGCCUACGGGAGGCAGCAGUGGGGAAUAUUGCACAAUGGGCGCAAGCCUGAUGCAGCCAUGCCGCGUGUAUGAAGAAGGCCUUCGGGUUGUAAAGCACUUUCAGCGGGGAGGCGUUACCCGCCGAAGAAGCCCCGGCUAACUCCGUGCCAGCCGCCGCGGUAAUUC
Molecule: ribosomal RNA, 406 nt
Filed under: uncultured bacterium
Lineage: Bacteria
Description: partial 16S ribosomal RNA
Rfam family: Bacterial small subunit ribosomal RNA
Source: RNAcentral